GGUGCUCCCUCUGGUCCGCAAAGGUCGUUAUGCCACAGCAACACUGGCUCCGAAGUGCGACGAACACGCCCGAGCGCGAUCUUCACAAAGUGUAAGAAAGUGCACCGCAACGAACGCCGCGACGACGACAGCGCCCGGCCGGGUGUGGCAAUGCGCCUAAUUAAACACUUGAUUAUUUUGUAAUUAAAACAACCAAAUUAAUAACAAUUUAAAAGAAGGGUUCAUGUAAGGGUAAUUAUGUCUAAUUGUCUUAUAAGCAUAUGUUGUGUAAUUUGUUUCUAAGUCCAAAACUGGUCGGGUCGGUUUUCCCGCGUUCCACGCGUUUAGGCGCGAGGCCGCCGGGCGGUCUCGCGCCCAGUCUUGAACUCGGGCUCCCAGGGGUCGGACGCUCCGCGAACGUCGGGCCAGCACUUCUAGUUUUCUCUUCAACAUUUCAGCAAUAGUGGUUCUCUGCACAGCACAGGAAACAACGGAAGCGAAGAUCUCGGCGAGGAGGAGCUGUCACAUCUGGCGGAGAGGCUGGAGCCCUGCGAUCUUCAUGCCUCGGUGCAGAACCUGCCUGGCGGCGCUGAACAGCAGCAGCCUCUGGGCUGCCGUGUGGCCGUCCUGGUUCUUCACCGGCAGCACCCUCAGCGCUGCGUUGAUCUCGCUGCUGCCGACAACCCACAGCCCACGUGGCCAUCAGUACUGCUCUCUAUCGCAGCUAACCCGAGCUCUUUGGAACUCGUGGGACGAGACGAUGAGAGAUCACUGACAAUAACUGCAGAUAUUCCCAGAACAUCCGCCGUGUCAUCGCUGAUAUCGCCCAAGUCUAUCUUUGUGGCUGCAAUCCAAACAAAGAAAAACUUACACAAAAAGUGAUGUUCCAUUGGUAUGUUGCUCAUUUUCAUGACAGUAACAGAAAAGGUGUAAAGGUAUGUCUGUGGUGUGAAGGUAUAUCUGUGUUGUGUAUGUGUUUGUGUUUGUGUUGUGUAUGUGUAUGUGUAUGUGUAUGUGUUGUGUAUGUGUCUGUGUUGUGUAUAAGAGUAUGUGUGUGAAUGAGUAUGAGCAUGUGUUUGUGUGUAGAACUAAAUUUUCCACAAAAACAGUGACAUUUACUACACACUAUAUUUCAAUAUGCUAACCCAAAUGUAA
Bacillus rossius redtenbacheri is the source of this 1134-nucleotide long non-coding RNA. RefSeq lists it as uncharacterized. The transcript is spliced from 3 exons. Lineage: Eukaryota; Metazoa; Arthropoda; Insecta; Phasmatodea; Bacillidae. The record is from RefSeq and is a predicted model, not a curated record.